AGCGAACGCUGGCGGCAGGCCUAACACAUGCAAGUCGAACGAACCUUUCGGGGUUAGUGGCGGACGGGUGCGUAACACGUGGGAACGUGCCUUUAGGCACGGAAUAACACAGGUAAACUUGUGCUAAUACCGAAUGUGCUCUUCGGGGGAAAGAUUAAGCGCCUGUAGAGCGGCCGGCGUCUGAUUAGCUAGUUGGGUGAGGUAAUGGCGCACCAAGGCUACGAUCAGUAGCUGGUCUGAGAGGAAGAUCAGCCACAUUGGGACUGAGACACGGCCCAAACUCCUGCGGGAGGCAGCAGUGGGGAAUCUUGCGCAAUGGGCUAAAGCCUGACGCAGCCAUGCCGGGUGAAUGAUGAAGGUCUUAGGAAAGUAAAAUUCUUUCACCGGGGACGAUAAUGACGGUACCCGGAGAAGAAGCCCCGGCUAACUUCGUG
This 434-nucleotide ribosomal RNA is filed under the name uncultured bacterium. RNAcentral describes it as "partial 16S ribosomal RNA". It matches the Rfam family "Bacterial small subunit ribosomal RNA", at positions 29 to 507 of the family's 1533-position model. The record is from RNAcentral.